UUUUUUAUGGUGCUAGGGAUUGCAUGAUAAGCACAUGCUCUACCACUGAGCUUCACUCCCAGACCUCUCACUCUGGAUUCUAAUGAAGAAAAUUUGUUUGUGAUCUAAGGUUAAAGCCUUAGAUUUUGGAACUACUGUGGUGUAUUUUGAAGUAUUAAUAGCUAAUGUAGCAUUUACCAUGUAUGUGGUGCCAUUUUAAGCACCUUAUGUGUAUUGUCUCAGUGGACUUUUCCCAUUGUGACUGUGAUGUAGUAGAAAACAUCUGGUGAGUUUCCAUGGCUGAGCAUGUACUGACUGACAUAAAAGAGCGUUGUGGUCCCCAGUCGAAGUUUAACUUUAGUUUUCAGAACUGAUGUCCAAUAUUCUUGAUUAAUGUCAGUCACUGAAUCCUUGUAAUUUCCUUUAUCAAAAAAUUUUGACAGACUUAAACUUUUGUUGCUUGAGUGGGUCACAUUUAGAAGCACACUGACCCCACAAGCAUACAGCUCAACCAGUGAUCAGUUGGUGAAGAAAGGUGCCCAAGUAACCUCCACUAGGUCAGAAAAGAACAUUCAUAGUGACUCUGGUACCCUUCCUGCCCCCUCGAGGCACUGCCCACUCUCUGCUCCCCAAAGAUAACCAUUAUUCUAACCUGGUAUGUAUAUUUUUCUGAGUUGUCAGCUUUUUUUUUUCCCAACUUGGCAAAAUUAAUUGGAAAAUCAUCAUACUUGUUGUGCUGAGGUAUAGCUAAUGAACAGAGUAAAGCUGACCACUGCCCAGUGGAGCUCACACUGAGAUGGAAGAGACUGUAAAUCAGUCAUAGCAAGUGUUUGCUGGGUUGCAUACGAACAUGAAGGGAUCAGAGACAGGAGCAGACUUAACUGGUGAUCUGGAAAACAGUUUUUUGUUGUUCGUUUGUUACUUGAAGAGAUGCAAUAAGAGGCAAGGGUCAAAACAGCCAAUAUGUGAAUCAGUGAAGAGUUAUAUUGACUGGAAAGGUUUUGCUGUUCAGAGUAUGAACAUAGGCUCAUUUCUUUCCUUCACAAGAUAUAGGAUAUAGUAUGGUAUAUAUACUAUUUUUGUAGCUGAGUUGGAUUCAGCAAAUUUUAUAAGGUUUUAAAUCCCAGAGAAAGUCAGGUGAAAUGUACCACAAACAUUGCAAGUAAAAUGAAUGUGUUUAUCUGACAGUUAAGAGAAAUUAGAUCUUUUCCAUUCAUUUUGUUUUAACCCAGGCUGCAAAAACAUUUUUAGUUGUUUACAAGGGCCUCAAUUACAUGUAAUUUUAAGUUGAAAUGUUUUUGGAGCAUGUGAGUAUCUAGACAGAUUCCUAAGCAGGAGAAGGGACACAGGUGACAUGACAUUAAGAGAACUGGCACCUCUUAGGCCUCUGUUCCUGGUGUAACUGUCCAGGAUCAGAUUUCUUUUUGAAAGGUCUAUGCUUUAUUCUUAUAUUAAACCAACCUAGUGUGAAUUCCCUUAAUGUAUAAUUUAGAGCCAGGUGCAAUGGUGCACACCCGUAAUCUCAGCUACUGAGGCAGGAGAAUUGCAAUUUCUAGGCCAGCCUUGGUGAUUUAGUGAGAACUUGUCUCAAAAAAAUGAAAAGAAGUGAGCACUGAGCUUUUUAGUUCAGUUGUUGGUGUGGGAGGCCCCGGCAUCAAUCCCCAGUCAUGACGGGGGGAAAGUAUAAUUUUAGGAUAUGUCUAUUACAGUGGUGUAAAUACUUUGAAUAAAAGAGGAAAUACUGGUAGACAGAUUUUACUUGUAUACUAAUUUUUUUUUUUCUUUUCAUGCUUCUUCAUUAGAGAUUUGAAAGAACAAAUCAUUGUUAUUCCACUUUGGAAAGCAAGGGAUGGCAACAUGGAAAAUCUAAAGAAAAAAUGUUAAAUGAACUGACUGUUAUUUAAUGUAAAUGUGGAGGAACAUAUUCUUCAAUCAAUUUGAGAAAAUUUCUAAACCUCUUAAAGGUCACCCAAAGGACUUAAAAAGAGCAUACUACAGGGACACAGCCACAUCAGUGUUUAUAGCAGCACAAUUCACAAUAGCUCAACUGUGGAAUCAACCUAGAUGUCCUUCAGUAGAUGAAUGGAUUAAAAAAUGUGGUAUAUAUACACAAUGGACUAUUACUCAGCAAUAAAAGAGAAUAAAAUCAUGGCAUUUGUAGGUAAAUGGAUGGAGUUAGAAAAGAUAAUGCCAACUUAAGUUAGCCAAUCUCCCCAAAAAACAAAUCCGAGUGUUUUCUCUGAUAUAGGGAGGCUGAUUCAUAGUGGGGUAGGGAGAGGGAGCAUGGGAGGAAUAGAGGAACUCUAGAUAGGGCAGAGGGGUAGGAGGGGAGGGGAGGGAGCAUGGGGUUAUUAAUGAUGGUGGAAUGUGGUGAUCAUUAUUAUCCAAAGUACAGGUAUGAAGGUAUACUUUGUAUACAACCAGAGAUAUGAAAAAUUUUGCUCUAUAUGUAUAAUAAAUAUUGUAAUGCAUUCCACUGUCAUAUAUAAAUAAAAGAUCAUUUAUAAAUUCCA
Molecule: long non-coding RNA, 2492 nt
Filed under: Marmota monax (woodchuck)
Lineage: Eukaryota; Metazoa; Chordata; Mammalia; Rodentia; Sciuridae
Source: RNAcentral